UACGAAGGGUGCAAACGUUGCUCGGAAUUAUUGGGCGUAAAGCGCACGUAGGCGGCUUUUCAAGUCGGAUGUGAAAUCCCUCGGCUUAACCAAGGAAGUGCAUCCGAAACUGGAGAGCUUGAGUACUUAAGAGGAUCGCGGAAUUCCCGGUGUAGAGGUGAAAUUCGUAGAUAUCGGGAGGAACACCAGUGGCGAAGGCGGCGAUCUGGGAAGAUACUGACGCUGAGGUGCGAAAGCUAGGGGAGCAAACGGG
RNAcentral lists this ribosomal RNA (253 nucleotides) under uncultured bacterium. RNAcentral describes it as "partial 16S ribosomal RNA". It matches the Rfam family "Bacterial small subunit ribosomal RNA", at positions 524 to 776 of the family's 1533-position model. The record is from RNAcentral.